Molecule: long non-coding RNA, 2072 nt
Filed under: Gallus gallus (chicken)
Lineage: Eukaryota; Metazoa; Chordata; Aves; Galliformes; Phasianidae
Description: lncRNA (ENSGALG00010013955.1)
Source: RNAcentral
GGAAGAGGAGGGUGCAGAAGCAGAUGCUGGAGUUCAGGUACAUGGAUUUGAGUGCAGAUGAGGAGGAGUGGGCUGCAGAGGCUUAAGAUUUGGCUCCUAAUGGAGAGCAGAGUCCUGCUGUGUUGUUUGCACUGCUGUGUGUUGUAAAACUAGGAGUGGAUGGUAUGUUCUCAGUCUUGUUUAAUCACGCCCUGACAAGCAAGAAUAAGAAGCAAUUGGAGGAAAUGUCUGACACGAUUCCCUGCCUUCAGGGAGGCCAGUCACUUGCACGCUUUUAACAAUCAUAUUCUUUGCAUGGUUUCGUUCUUAUUUUCCAUGUCCCGUGCAUCAGUUGCUGACUGCUGUCCAGUAAUUCCCGUGGUACAGAUGUAUCUUGAGAAAGGAGCUGAGAGAGGACAUAAACCUCUUAGAGAAGUAGCUCAGUGGCCGUGUCUAAAGCAUUAGAGACAGCAUUUUUCUUUUCUAUCUUAGUAAGGAUUUGCUGUUUUGAAGUGGUCAGCUGCUUUUGUUUGGUAAACACCAAUGUGUUGCUGUUAUUGUAAGAUUUUCUGGGCAAGGGAUCUUCCUUCCUAUCUCUCCUUCUCAAGAAAAGAAGAUCAAGCGUGCUCAAAUGCUCUGAGGAAUAAAUCAUCUAAGAUGGAAAGGACCUUCAAAUUCUGAUCGUCAGCCUGACCUACCAAGUCCCAUCACCAGCCCAUCCCUUGAUGCCGUGUCUAUAAAUCUCUUGAAUACCUCUAGGGACUGAGACUCCAUCACUUCUCUGGACAGUCCCUUCCAAGGCUUGCACACCCUCUCUGUGAAGAAAUUCUUAGUAAUAUUCAAUUGGAACGUUCUCUGGCACAACGUGAGACUGUUUCCUUGCAUCCUCAUUUUAGAGGCUUCUCCCCCGAACUGCUGCGUUGUAAACUUGGGCAAAGCUUUGACCUACCAGGUCUGAUGACUCUGGCCUUCCACUGUAAAAUGUUUGGGAUCCACAGAUGUAAUGCAGUGGCUUGCAAUAGAAAGCAAGGGUUUAGGGGAAGAGAGAGGAGAACAUUAUAGUCUCUCUCACCUCUGAAAUGAUAGCUAAAUUACAACAAUUUAAUCAAAAAACUGUGUAGGAAGACAGACACAUCCAUCAGCUAAAGAAGGGUAAAGGCAUUGCAGGGUAAGGAGCCUUUGGAAGUAAUAAGUCAGAGCUAACCUCCUUGGCGGCAAAUCAAAGUUCUUUGCUUACUUCAAGAGCCAAGGAGGACAUCUCACAUCUGUUCCCAGAACAGCACAAAGCAACCCGUGUCCUAGUAAUGGGCAAGAGUAAAUAUUUCCACACUGGUUUUACUUACCUGGCAACAGGUUUUCUUCUGUUGGACUUGAGGCAAAAUUAUAGAUGGAGUGCCCUUUUCCUAGACUUGCAAUGGAUAAACAAAAGAGAUGUUUUUCUCAAAAAUUAUUUUCUCAAAAAAUGUAGGGAACCAGGCUUGUUGUCCUGCCAUUAAGACUGGAUCACAAAAGAAUUGGAACACUGAGAUUAUGCGUUGGUAAUAUCCCCGUGAUUCAAACACAUGAGUACGUGGCUGCCUGGAGAAGAGGUCUGUGUCCAGUUUAUAUCGCUAUGGUUUUAUUCCUACAGUUGCAUUUGCAAUGGUCACUGUAACAGUUUAUGGUCAGUGGUCAGUGCAGUAGUCUAUCCAUUUCUCGGAGGCAUGUGAAUGCAUCAAGGGCCUGUCAAAAGAAGCUGAGGGAGCUGGAGGGGAAGUUCUGCUGCUGGAGCAGUCUUCUGGAUGGAGCCUUUUCUUCCAGCAGGUUGCUAUGAAGAAGGAAGUGGUAUUGGAGCCCACUCUGGUGUAGCACAUCUGCAUUUUUUCCCAAAUGAAACUCAGACCUUGAAGUCUAUUUCUGAAGGAGUUGUGUUCUCCAAGCAAGAAAUUUGAGCUUGUUUUCAGAGCUGGGCAGUGGCACUAUGGGCACCCCCUCUGGCAGAGGUGCCAAAGAACAACGUGUGGUCCCAAAGCUCCCAGCAGAAGCUGGACACCACCAUGACCCCAGGGGCUUCAGAGAAGACCAUGAAGGCAAGGAUUAGCACGGGAAAGCAA